AGUGAACGCUGGCGGUAGGCCUAACACAUGCAAGUCGAACGGCAGCACAGUAAGAGCUUGCUCUUACGGGUGGCGAGUGGCGGACGGGUGAGGAAUACAUCGGAAUCUACUUUUUCGUGGGGGAUAACGUGGGGAAACUUACGCUAAUACCGCAUACGACCUACGGGUGAAAGCAGGGGAUCUUCGGACCUUGCGCGAUUGAAUGAGCCGAUGUCGGAUUAGCUAGUUGGCGGGGUAAAGGCCCACCAAGGCGACGAUCCGUAGCUGGUCUGAGAGGAUGAUCGGCCACACUGGAACUGAGACACGGUCCAGACUACUACGGGAGGCAGCAGUGGGGAAUAUUGGACAAUGGGCGCAAGCCUGAUCCAGCCAUACCGCGUGGGUGAAGGAGGCCUUCGGGUUGUAAAGCCCUUUUGUUGGGAAAGAAAAGCAGCAGGUUAAUACCCCGCUGUUCUGACGGUACCCAAAGAAUAAGCACCGGCUAACUUCGUG
Molecule: ribosomal RNA, 492 nt
Filed under: uncultured bacterium
Lineage: Bacteria
Description: partial 16S ribosomal RNA
Rfam family: Bacterial small subunit ribosomal RNA
Source: RNAcentral